Molecule: ribosomal RNA, 253 nt
Filed under: uncultured bacterium
Lineage: Bacteria
Description: partial 16S ribosomal RNA
Rfam family: Bacterial small subunit ribosomal RNA
Source: RNAcentral
UACAGAGGUCUCGAGCGUUGUUCGGAUUCAUUGGGCGUAAAGGGUGCGUAGGUGGCGUGGUAAGUCUGGUGUGAAAUCCCGGGGCUCAACCCCGGAACUGCACUGGAUACUGCCAUGCUUGAGUACUGGAGAGGAGAUUGGAAUUUACGGUGUAGCAGUGAAAUGCGUAGAUAUCGUAAGGAAGACCAGUGGCGAAGGCGAAUCUCUGGACAGUUACUGACACUGAGGCACGAAGGCCAGGGGAGCAAACGGG